Molecule: ribosomal RNA, 326 nt
Filed under: uncultured eukaryote
Lineage: Eukaryota
Description: partial 18S ribosomal RNA
Rfam family: Eukaryotic small subunit ribosomal RNA
Source: RNAcentral
CCCUUAGAUGUUCUGGGCCGCACGCGCACUACACUGAUGCAUUCAACAAGCCUAGCCUUGACCGAGAGGUCCGGGUAAUCUUUGAAACUGCAUCGUGAUGGGGCUAGAUUAUUGCAAUUAUUAAUCUUCAACGAGGAAUGCCUAGUGAGCGUGAUUCAUCAAAUCGCGUUGAUUACGUCCCUGCCCUUUGUACACACCGCCCGUCGCUCCUACCGAUUGAAUGUGUUGGUGAGGAGCUCGGAUUGGCAGCAGUUGGUGGUUCGCCACCGGCUAUUGCUGAGAAGUCAUCCAAACCGCCCCAUUUAGAGGAAGGAGAAGUCGUAACA